GGAAAUACAGCUUAGUGGUUGAGUGCAUGCUUAGCAUGCACAAGGUACUGGGUUCAAUCCCCAGUACCUCCU
RNAcentral lists this transfer RNA (72 nucleotides) under Camelus ferus (Wild Bactrian camel). It matches the Rfam family "tRNA". From Rfam's summary of the family: Transfer RNA (tRNA) molecules are approximately 80 nucleotides in length. Their secondary structure includes four short double-helical elements and three loops (D, anti-codon, and T loops). Further hydrogen bonds mediate the characteristic L-shaped molecular structure. tRNAs have two regions of fundamental functional importance: the anti-codon, which is responsible for specific mRNA codon recognition, and the 3' end, to which the tRNAs corresponding amino acid is attached (by aminoacyl-tRNA synthetases). tRNAs cope with the degeneracy of the genetic code in two manners: having more than one tRNA (with a specific anti-codon) for a particular amino acid; and 'wobble' base-pairing, i.e. permitting non-standard base-pairing at the 3rd anti-codon position. Lineage: Eukaryota; Metazoa; Chordata; Mammalia; Artiodactyla; Camelidae. The record is from Rfam by way of RNAcentral.